UCUGGAUAUGAUAACAAUAUGAUAGCAAUAUAAUAUGAGAAUAGAGGUGUGAGGCCUAGCUUUGGUUUGAUGCUGUAGCUCUUCAGUCCAAGUUCUGUUCUGGUUCUCUUCAGUCCAGGUUCUGUGGUGGUUUUCUUCAGUCCAGGUUCUGUGGUGGUUUUCUUCAGUCCAGGUUCUGUUUUGGUUCUCUUCAGUCCAGGUUCUGUGGUGGUUUUCUUCAGUCCAGGUUCUGUUUUGGUUCUCUUCAGUCCAGGUUCUGUUUUGGUUCUCUUCAGUCCAGGUUCUGUGGUGGUUCUCUUCAGUCCAGGUUCUGUUUUAGUUAUCUUCAGUCCAGGCUCUGUGGUGGUUUUGUUCAGUCCAGGUUCUCUUCAGUUCUCAUAAUUGGAGGGUUGAGCGUCUCCCUGAGGGUCUGUAUCACUGGGGGAGUCCCUCACACU
This 437-nucleotide long non-coding RNA is filed under the name Salmo salar (Atlantic salmon). RNAcentral's name for it is "lncRNA (ENSSSAG00000096859.1)". Lineage: Eukaryota; Metazoa; Chordata; Actinopteri; Salmoniformes; Salmonidae. The record is from RNAcentral.